This 301-nucleotide ribosomal RNA is filed under the name uncultured bacterium. RNAcentral's name for it is "partial 16S ribosomal RNA". It matches the Rfam family "Bacterial small subunit ribosomal RNA", at positions 509 to 807 of the family's 1533-position model. The record is from RNAcentral.
CAGUCGCCGCGGGAAUACAGAGGGUGCGAGCGUUAAUCGGAUUUACUGGGCGUAAAGCGUGCGUAGGCGGCUUCUUAAGUCGGAUGUGAAAUCCCUGAGCUUAACUUAGGAAUUGCAUUCGAUACUGGGAAGCUAGAGUAUGGGAGAGGAUGGUAGAAUUCCAGGUGUAGCGGUGAAAUGCGUAGAGAUCUGGAGGAAUACCGAUGGCGAAGGCAGCCAUCUGGCCUAAUUCUGACGCUGAGGUACGAAAGCAUGGGGAGCAAACAGGAUUAGAUACCCCCGUAGUCCCUGUCUCUUAUAC